Molecule: long non-coding RNA, 728 nt
Organism: Acanthochromis polyacanthus (spiny chromis)
Lineage: Eukaryota; Metazoa; Chordata; Actinopteri; Pomacentridae
Exons: 4
Source: RefSeq, a predicted model, not a curated record
UCCGAGAAAGAGAAAGUACUCUGCCGUGUGGGAUCAUUUUGACCUUAUAUCACCUGAUAAGGUAAUUUCUUUGUACUUCGUUCCAAUUUAAAUGGCUGACAAAAUCUGUAGUGUAUAUUUUUAUGAUCCACAGGUUAAAUGUCGUCUGUGUUCAACGGAGUUGUCUUAUGCAACCCGAAACACAUCAUCAAUGCUACGGCAUUAUAAAGCUCGUCAUGAAAGAGAAGACAAUACACCAGGAAUGGAUACUGCCUCUAGAAAACAGGCCCUCAAUCGAUGCAUUAUAAAUAUGAUAAUCAAAGAUUGCCAACCUUUAAGCAUCGUUGAGGACGAGGGAUUCAGGGAGAUGCUCCAGACUCUUGAGCCAUCAUACGCAAUACCAACCAGAAAGGCUCUAAAGGAAAUGGUUUCUGAGAGAUAUGCAGCAGAAACCCAGAACAUUAAGGAAAAAUUACACUCCACCAAUGCAAUCAGCCUUACAGCAGAUAUGUGGACUUCAGUAAACAUGGAGGCCUACUUGGCUGUGACUGGCCACUUCUUUGACACUGAAAAUAAAAUGUGCACCACUGUGCUGGGAGUUAAAUAUUUUCCCAAGAGCCACACAGCAGAGAAUAUUGCUGAGGUCACACAAGAUCUGAUUGACAGCUGGGCCAUCACAGGGAAGGUUGCACGCUUUGUAACUGAUGCCGGGGCAAAUAUGAUCGCGUCUGCAAGACUAUUAAAAAUCG